RNAcentral lists this ribosomal RNA (492 nucleotides) under uncultured bacterium. RNAcentral's name for it is "partial 16S ribosomal RNA". It matches the Rfam family "Bacterial small subunit ribosomal RNA", at positions 29 to 507 of the family's 1533-position model. The record is from RNAcentral.
AGUGAACGCUGGCGGUAGGCCUAACACAUGCAAGUCGAACGGCAGCACAGUAAGAGCUUGCUCUUACGGGUGGCGAGUGGCGGACGGGUGAGGAAUACAUCGGAAUCUACUUUUUCGUGGGGGAUAACGUAGGGAAACUUACGCUAAUACCGCAUACGACCUACGGGUGAAAGCAGGGGAUCUUCGGACCUUUCGCGAUUGAAUGAGCCGAUGUCGGAUUAGCUAGUUGGCGGGGUAAAGGCCCACCAAGGCGACGAUCCGUAGCUGGGCUGAGAGGAUGAUCAGCCACACUGGAACUGAGACACGGUCCAGACUCCUACGGGAGGCAGCAGUGGGGAAUAUUGGACAAUGGGCGCAAGCCUGAUCCAGCCAUACCGCGUGAGUGAAGAAGGCCUUCGGGUUGUAAAGCCCUUUUGUUGGGAAAGAAAAGCAGCAGGUUAAUACCCCGCUGUUCUGACGGUACCCAAAGAAUAAGCACCGGCUAACUUCGUG